This 555-nucleotide ribosomal RNA is filed under the name Debaryomyces hansenii. RNAcentral describes it as "partial large subunit ribosomal RNA". It matches the Rfam family "Eukaryotic large subunit ribosomal RNA", at positions 53 to 612 of the family's 3401-position model. Lineage: Eukaryota; Fungi; Ascomycota; Pichiomycetes; Serinales; Debaryomycetaceae. The record is from RNAcentral.
GAGGAAAAGAAACCAACAGGGAUUGCCUUAGUAACGGCGAGUGAAGCGGCAAAAGCUCAAAUUUGAAAUCUGGCACCUUCGGUGUCCGAGUUGUAAUUUGAAGAAGGUAACUUUGGAGUUGGCUCUUGUCUAUGUUCCUUGGAACAGGACGUCACAGAGGGUGAGAAUCCCGUGCGAUGAGAUGCCCAAUUCUAUGUAAAGUGCUUUCGAAGAGUCGAGUUGUUUGGGAAUGCAGCUCUAAGUGGGUGGUAAAUUCCAUCUAAAGCUAAAUAUUGGCGAGAGACCGAUAGCGAACAAGUACAGUGAUGGAAAGAUGAAAAGAACUUUGAAAAGAGAGUGAAAAAGUACGUGAAAUUGUUGAAAGGGAAGGGCUUGAGAUCAGACUUGGUAUUUUGCGAUCCUUUCCUUCUUGGUUGGGUUCCUCGCAGCUUACUGGGCCAGCAUCGGUUUGGAUGGUAGGAUAAUGACUAAGGAAUGUGGCUCUACUUCGGUGGAGUGUUAUAGCCUUGGUUGAUACUGCCUGUCUAGACCGAGGACUGCGUCUUUUGACUAGGA